GACGAACGCUGGCGGCGUGCCUAAUACAUGCAAGUCGAGCGGAAGUUGGAGAGCUUGCUCUUCAACUUUAGCGGCGGACGGGUGAGUAACACGUGGGCAACCUGCCCUGCAGAUCGGGAUAACUCCGGGAAACCGGUGCUAAUACCGAAUAGUUUUCGCCACCUCCUGGUGGCGUACGGAAAGACGGUUUCGGCUGUCACUGCAGGAUGGGCCCGCGGCGCAUUAGCUAGUUGGGGGGGUAACGGCCCACCAAGGCGACGAGGCGUAGCCGACCUGAGAGGGUGAUCGGCCACACUGGGACUGAGACACGGCCCAGACUCCUACGGGAGGCAGCAGUAGGGAAUCUUCCGCAAUGGACGAAAGUCUGACGGAGCAACGCCGCGUGAGUGACGAAGGUUUUCGGAUCGUAAAACUCUGUUGUGAGGGAAGAACAAGUACCAACUAACUACUGGUACCUUGACGGUACCUCACCAGGAAGCCACGGCUAACUACGUGCCAGCCGCCGCGGUAA
Molecule: ribosomal RNA, 511 nt
Filed under: uncultured bacterium
Lineage: Bacteria
Description: partial 16S ribosomal RNA
Rfam family: Bacterial small subunit ribosomal RNA
Source: RNAcentral